RNAcentral lists this long non-coding RNA (309 nucleotides) under Elaeis guineensis (African oil palm). RNAcentral's name for it is "long non-coding RNA (EGUI_LNC027203)". The record is from RNAcentral. Lineage: Eukaryota; Viridiplantae; Streptophyta; Magnoliopsida; Arecales; Arecaceae.
CUAGAGCGGAUAAUACCUCAUGAGUAUGAAAGCAAAGACAAACCUAUCUGACCCACGAGCUCUUGAUCAGAAUACUAUAUAUUAUAAAAGUAAUUAAUAGUGGGAGAACCACCUAUUGGAGUUUCUCACGUUGGGCAGCUUAGAAACGUCUCUUUAAAGUUCAAGGAUGGGUACAUGACUCACAAGAGAAUAGGGGUGAUAAUUGUAAACGACAACUCAAUACGCAUAGCGUGACGUAUGUGGUUAUACUAUUUUCCUUGUUUACUUUUUCUCUACAACCGACGCGUAAUUGAAAGUAUAAUAUGCAGC